GGAGUAUUAGGGCCACACGUGAAGAAAAAAAAUAUUUUUGCCGUGACGAGAUUAAAAUCGACACGUCGACUUUAAAGUCAUCAUGUCGACAUUAAACUCGAAAUGUCGAGAAUAAAGUUGAAAUGUCAUGUCGACUUUAAUCUCGACGUGUCGACUUUAAACUCGAAAUGUCGAGAAUAAAUGUAGUGAUAUGAGGCAAUACGGCUAUUUGGACACAGACUUCUAUUACACCACGCCCACUCCGGCCCGUUCGCCAAUCAUUGCUUGUCGAGGGGAUAAAAGUAGGCCGUGCCCUUCCUCCUGAACUCUCGCUUCCUGCCUCUUCGGCCCGUCCAUUUCCGGGUUGUUGCCCUCGCCGCUCACCUCAGAGCACAGGUAGGCUCACCUCCGCAUGCUGUGUUGCGUACAUUCAUCAGCGGUUUACUAAAACUCAAACCCUUACUAUAAUAGAUCUGCCGAGAUCCUCAUCACAAUCGGGGCAAUGUAUUGGGGUCGUUUACCGCCGCUGACCAGAGCAUAGUCUGCUUGUCGCAUGGUGCGUGGUGGCUGUCUCCCCCGCUACGCCGAUACUCUUCACCCCUCUCCCUCUUUAGAAGGGACGCAUAAUGAUCAGACUGAGAACCGGGAUUAAGAACGCAAAACCGAGAAUACCUUCCUUGGUUAUUUACUGAUUGUCGCUUAAUUGUCAUUGCUGCUGCUUCGUUGCCACUUCCGCCGACUUGGUUCGGGGCUCUGUCUACUGCCCCUGGUCGGCUUGCCUCCAGCUGCUAGCCCUGUGGCCCGCUGCUGCUGUGCGUGGUGCGGUGUGUGCCUGACCUGUGUGGCUGCCGCUCGGGUGUGCCGCUGCGAGCUCCGCCUGGACUCACCCCUGGUUUGGAGUGUGUGUGUGUGCGUGUGUGUGUGCGUUUUGAGUUAAUCUCUUAAGUUUUGUGUCGUUCAUUUAAUUUUCAUUUGGAAGGGAAACUUCUCAAUCUGAGCCCUUGUUUAUUUUUGUUUAAAACAUAUGUUAUGUUUACUUAUUGAGUUGAUAUCUCUGGUCCGAGGCUUUUUAAUUUUCUUGUUUUCUUUCAUUUUGAGUGAUUUUUGGUUAUUGCAAAUUAAUACUCUUUAGUUUAUUGAUUUGAUUUGUUAUGUGAUAUUGUCUGUCAGUUGUGAGCCCUCCUAACUGUGCCCCUUUCUCGUAGAGCUGAAGGCCGACGGUGGUGGCGGUGGUCCUCCUGGGUGGUGGUGGUGAUCCUUCGUGUGCGUGUGCUUUGUUUUAGAUUUUAUUCAUUUGGACUUCACGUUUUUGCUGUGUGUGUGAGGUGCCCUUGUUUCUUUCGUUGGAUUUAAUUUCCCCCUGACGACCACUCUCCCAGCCGGUAAGCCUCAGCUUGCACCUACGUCCUUCCCCAGUUGGGCUUACUUCUCUUUUUCAUCUUUUAUGCCAAACUGUGUUUAUAAUAAUAAAAUGCUUUGUUAUAUUUGAACUCUGUCUCCCGCCCUCCCUGAUUGAACGAACCUGAUAGUCUUAUCGUCAGAGGUGACAAUUAUACUCGUAGUGUAUAGGUCCUUGGGCCCUAACCCAAGGUGGCGUUGUCGGUAACAGAGAAAAUACUCUGACAUAAAAUAGU
Gadus macrocephalus (Pacific cod) is the source of this 1613-nucleotide long non-coding RNA. RefSeq lists it as uncharacterized. The transcript is spliced from 3 exons. The record is from RefSeq and is a predicted model, not a curated record. NCBI's taxonomy places the organism in Eukaryota, Metazoa, Chordata, Actinopteri, Gadiformes, Gadidae.